Molecule: unclassified non-coding RNA, 360 nt
Filed under: uncultured Ophiostomataceae
Lineage: Eukaryota; Fungi; Ascomycota; Sordariomycetes; Ophiostomatales
Description: sequence contains ITS1
Rfam family: 5.8S ribosomal RNA (bases 1-105)
Source: RNAcentral
CAAAUGCGAUAAGCAAUGCGAAUUGCAGAAUUCCGCGAGUCAUCAGAUCUUUGAACGCAAGUGGCGCCGGAGGGAUCUCCUUUCGGCAUGUCUGUCUCAGUGUCUGAGAGGUUUCACAUAAAUCUUAAUGUGAUUGACGAAGGUGGAUAAGAAGAGAAUAUUCUUCUCUCUCUUUCUUCCCGAUGCUCUCAUGAAAGAUGCGCAAGUGGAUCUUGCGGUCAAAUGAAGUGGUCACAUCACUCGCAUGUGAUUUCAUUGGAGUAAUAACCAAACCGAAUUAUCCGAUUACUUGUGAUUUUCUAACAUAACAAACUUCCAUACCCUGCAUCUGAGACAGGCAAGAUCACCCGCUGAACUUAA